GCACUACUGAAGAGUCCCACGAUGGGACGAAAUGGCCAUCUAGUGC
This is a non-coding RNA of Schistosoma margrebowiei, 46 nucleotides long. The record is from Rfam. Lineage: Eukaryota; Metazoa; Platyhelminthes; Trematoda; Strigeidida; Schistosomatidae.